GUGUGAUAGAAGGAAAAGCCAGAAGUGAAGUACGCCCUGCUCGGUUUCCCCUGUGGCUGCAGCGAGGUCAGGUGUCCCCCAAGUGACCUCCACUGACCAAGGCCACUCUCCGCAGGUAGAUCUUGGGGGCUGAGCUUUGCCAGGUGGCAUGCACGGUUGGCAAGGGUGGGGCGGCUGCUGCUGGGUUUGCCUGCCAGGUGGUUCUGCUGCCCAGCACAGCCUGGCUGGCCCCUGGGGUGGCUCAGCCCCCAGGCCGUAGGGAAAGAGGCAGUGGGGGUGUGCAACCCACAGGCAUCCGGGUAUCCUGGUGACCCAGAAGCAGCCCCUUAGCAAUGGGCCUGGGUUGCGGCUGGGGACGUGACUCCAUCCCUGUCACCCAGCGUCCCAGAGAAGCUAGGUUUUCAGUGUGGAAUCCUGCGAUCUGUCAAAAAACAAACACCAAGCAGCCAGACAGGAAAAGAAGCCUCCACAGGCCGGGUGGAGCGGAGCGCGGCUGCACUUGCUGCUCUGAGGCUCUGCUUGAUGCCCGUGGGGGCUCCAGACAUGGUCUCUGGCUCCCUUCCAGGGCAGGGUGGAGAAGGCCGUUUGGGUGGAGGGAAAGGGUCACCUCACCCCUCCUCCGGCUGUAGAAAGCUAGACGUGAACGCACACGCAGUGAAGCACCAGCUUGCGAUCAGCGCUGAGAACGAAGAGCUGAGGUGAAGGCAGCCGAGGAAGCAGUGACUCUCAGUUGGCCGACCAGACAGGCUGCACCAGAAACGCUUUCCACCGGCUUUCCCGGCCGCAUUCACAGGCGCAGAUAGAUGAGCAGCCGGUGGGUGGCUGAGUAGCUCCUCAGACGAAAAGGGUUUCUCCCGGCACCCUCGACAUCUCUUGCUUCUGAAGUAGGCUCAGCCCCAGCCACGGGAGCAGGUGCAACGCUCAAGUCCUGAUUAAGAAAGCUGGAGAGAACCCAAAGGAAUGACUUUCAAAUGACAGCCUUUUCAGAGGCAACACCUGCUCAGUGCCAGGACCAUGUCACAUAUGAUAACAGUGCCCACCACUGCGCCUGGCCCCUGAUGCUGUGUCCUGGAACUCGGAACAUGAACGACUGUAUAUGUGCCAUUCUUCCAGAGGGCCUGGGGGCCAAUACAUUUCCCAGUAUCCUUUCACAAACAAAAACGGGACUAUUGGGUGAAGGAGCAUUCACAACUGGGUGAAUGGAUGAAUCUCAAGGGUAGGACACUUGGAAAACGCCUACCUGUUCAUUCCAUGAUGCCACGUUCAUGUCAGGACUCACCCUCAAAUUCAUUAAAUUCGGCAAGAUCCGUUUUUCCUGAGGGCCAUGUUAGCAUUUGUUUUCUCCUGCCCCGUGCCUGCAGCAUCUUGGUCUAGGAGCAUCAUCUUCAUUUCCUUACAAACAACUGCAGUUUUCAUCCCCUGCUCCAGGAUGAAAUCUGCCUCUCAAAGCCGGAGAUGAAAGGUGACUUUCCUUUCUCUCCAUUCCCUCCUUUCUUCUUAAGCUAAGCAUAGAGAGUAUUUGUUGCUUGCAUCCGAAGAAAGCAUAUCCUCAGAUACCAAGAGGAAGGCUCUAGACUCAAUGAUAAGGUUACCAUCAGUGAUUUUGUAGAUACACUGCUUAGGCUCGAAGGCUAGCUCUGAGGCUUCUUAGCUGUGUGGCCUCAGACAAGUCAUUUAUCCUCUCUUUGCCUCAGCUGCCCGAUCUUCAAAAUGGGAAGGUUAGAUAAAGUACAGCAAUGCAAAUACUUUUAAAACAGUGCCUCGCACGUGGUGACCACUCUAAAUAUCAUCAGGUCUCAAUCAUCCUAGAAACUUGGGGGAAAAAAUGAGAGGAUUCUACUUAUGAAAACAAAAGAAAAAAAUACCACAAAUCAUGGAAUGCACUGGAAUGCACACAGGAUUUCUCAAGGGCUGCUCGUGUCUGCCUGUGCUCUCUGAUGUUGGUGAGGCUCGCAGAAAAGGGCUGUGGAGCUGUUUCUGAUGGGGAGUUCAAAAAUGAGCUGCUGCCUUUUCAUUUUUUAAGGAAAUCCAGAGGCCAAUGGCAGUAUCUGUGUUUUUUUUUUCCCCUUUUCUGGGAAAAUUCAUGAGUUCUUGGCCCCAAAUAAGCUUAGUUCUCUACAGCUUCCCACAAGGAAAUUAAAUUUUCAGGUCCUGAACAAAAGUUUAGUUAUCAGUAAUAUAAUCAUUCCUGCUGUCACUGCAGGUCUGAAGGAACUAGAAGGGGGGAUAGCAUUUGACAGCAAGGAAAAGUAUCCCUCCUUUGACCUCCCUUUCAAACACUUGGACGUAUACUUACGCACAUGGAAUGGUGUGCCACACACUCUAAAGAAUGGACAAACACAACUACACACACACAACUGCACACAUAGAUGGCUUUCCCAAGGAUGACUUUCAACUGAGCAAUUUUUAAAAAAAACUCGAACCAUCCAGGGCCGGGAAUUUAGCUCAGUGGUGCCGCUGCCUGCCUCACAAACGGAAUGUCCUGAGUUCAGUCCCUGGUACCAAUCAAUGGAAAUGAAAAACCUGAAUCAUCCAUCAUUUUGGGGGUGCCUUCUUAUCCCAAGCCAGGAACUGGAGAAAGAGGAAGGAGUGGGUGUUACCAGCAUGAUUAUGUUCUGUUCCUGCCUUCCAGGAAAUUCUGUAACAGUGUGCUGGGGAAGAGGGUCCUACCAACAUCACAUAAAAAGCUGUAAAAAGGGUUACCAGAGAUAUUUAAACAUUGCUAAAGAUUGCUUGCUUGCUAGCUUUUUUUAAAGAGUAAUUUUGAAGCACUUUUACUGGUUACUCUUGGAGCUGACCAGCCUCGUUCUGCACUAGCCUGGAUUUGAAUAUUACAUUCGCUGCCUGUGAGUAGAGACACUAUCUGAGUCUGUCUACCAAAUGCUUUGUAAACAAAGUAUUUGUAUGCCUAAUCUACAUGUGUUAAGACAGUACUCCGCUGCAAACCUCAGAGGUCAGGUGGCAGUGGCUUAGCCAAGCGGGAGCUCAUUUUUCUCUUAUAAAAAGUAGCUCAGAGCGGGCAAUCCAGCAUUUGCAUCAUUCAAGGGACUUAUCAAGGAUGUGGCCUUCUUCCAUCUUCCUGCCUGAGCAUCCAUGGCUUCUCCAAGUGCAGGCAAAAUGGCAGUAGUUGAAGAAAUGAGCCAGCUGCAUAUGUUACCCUUGAAAAGCUUUCUAGAAAAUCUCACUUUAGUGACCACACCUUGUCCCUCAUUGGUCAUGAUCCUGCCAAGAAGACUGGACGUGUUACAAAGGAAGCUGAGAUACUGGAUAUUACAACCGGACGUUUUGUUUUUCUCAAACAAAAUUGAGCUCCUGUAGAAGGAAGAAGGGGAGAACUCAGCAGUGUUUGCCACAUUGUGUUGGGGGUCGUUGAAAGCAUUUCCUGAGAUAAUUCAUGUCCAACUCUUGACUUCAUGCCUGACAUUGGUAACUAUUAUUUUUAGCAGAGACUCCAAUGUCUUCUCUGAGGAUUCCCCCACUGAGGUGACAAAUGGAGACACAGUCUCCUCUGGGCUCUGGGACUAAACCUGGCCACUUCCUGUCUGGAUCCGAUUCAUGCCCUGUGAUUCAGGCAAUCUCAUCUCUCCAGAAUGUCCUCACUGUUAUGAUGCUAAGACAUCACCUGCUCUUUUACAAACCUGUAGUAUGGAAUGACUCUACUGUUCAAGAGUGACUUAAUACACACUUCCUAUUAUGAAUAAGUCUGUCUCUGUUUUU
Long non-coding RNA from Fukomys damarensis (Damara mole-rat), 3717 nucleotides. RefSeq lists it as uncharacterized. NCBI's taxonomy places the organism in Eukaryota, Metazoa, Chordata, Mammalia, Rodentia, Bathyergidae. The transcript is spliced from 3 exons. The record is from RefSeq and is a predicted model, not a curated record.